AUUUAUGAUGCAUAAAGAUGCAUUCGAUGCUGUCGGGAAAUGGCAACAUUCCAAAACAUUUCAGUAUAGACACGGAAAAAUAAACUAUAUGUAGUGUUUUAGUUUUUUGAUCAUUUGUAACAAACAUAAUAGGGUCUUCUGUAGCUUCCCUAUGUGUAUGUUGUAAUUCCUCCUCACCACUCGGGGCGCUAUAGAAGGCAAGGUGUGCUAUCUAGGUGUGACAGAAGAAGUACAAUGACUAAGCAGGAAGUGUCCCUUUUGUAAGUUCUUAUCAAGAUAAAUUCUACUUUUUUACUGCUUACCUAUAUACCUAAAACAGCUAAUAAGGCACUUGUACAAAAGUACGGUUGGUCACUUUAAUUGACAAGUUAUUAAUAAGAUCAGGCAUCACAAGAAGUCAUCAGACACUUGGCACACCAGAAGAGGACACGUGGCCUUUCAACCCUUUGGAGCAGUCAGAAGUCACAUCCUGCUUUUCUAGCCGUCUCAAAAGUCGCCUUUGUCACCUCUGACCUUGCUGAAAAGAGGUUGAAACAACAAAGACCAAGAAGAAACAGAAGGAUAAUGUACCAUCUGCCUGAUGUUUUUUCACAACCUAUAAAAAAGGAUAUACAGGAUAUAUGGCUCACACUCUUGGUUUUGGUUUUCUCGGGACUCCUGAUGACAUUUUGAGACAUCUCCUACAACUACAGCACCAGAAUUGAGCCGUCGAAGCAAGUUUUGUCUGGACUCCUGAUGACGUUUUGAGACAUCUACAACUACAGCACCAGAAUUGGGCCGUUGAAGCAAGUUUUGUCUGGACUCCUGAUGACGUUUUGAGACAUCUCCUACAACUACAGCACCAGAAUUGAGCCGUCGAAGCAAGUUUUCUCGGGACUCCUGAUGACGUUUUGAGACAUCUCCUACAACUACAGCACCAGAAUUGUGGUGCUGAAGCAAGUUUUGUCGGGACUCCUGAUGACGUUUUGAGACAUCUCCUACAACUACAGCACCAGAAAUGUGCUCCUGAAGCAAGUCCAUUUUUUUGAAUUUUUUGUUUUGUCUGGACUCCUGAUGACGUUUUGAGACAUCUCCUACAACUACAGCACCAGAAUUGUGCUGUUGAAGCAAUUUUUUUCGGGACUCCUGAUGACGUUUUGAGACAUCUCCUACAACUACAGCACCAGAAUUUGGCUGUUGAAGCAAGUCCGUUUUUUUGAAAUUUUUGUAAGGGUCCCCCCUUACGACAUUUUAGCAAAUACAUUUUUUCGUAAAAUAUGCAUUUUCUUCCAUUUUCAGGUUUUGUCUGGACUCCUGAUGACGUUUUGAGACAUCUCCUACGACUACAGCACCAGAAUUGGGCCGUUGAAGCAAGUUUUUUCGGGACUCCUGAUGACGUUUUGAGACAUCUCCUACAACUACAGCACCAGAAUUGGGCCGUUGAAGCAAGUCCGUCUUUUUGAAUUUUUUGUUUUGUCUGGACUCCUGAUGACGUUUUGAGACAUCUCCUACAACUACAGCACCAGAAUUGGGCCGUUGAAGCAAGUUCGUUUUUUU
Long non-coding RNA from Entelurus aequoreus (snake pipefish), 1536 nucleotides. RefSeq lists it as uncharacterized. Lineage: Eukaryota; Metazoa; Chordata; Actinopteri; Syngnathiformes; Syngnathidae. The record is from RefSeq and is a predicted model, not a curated record. The transcript has 13 exons.